Molecule: ribosomal RNA, 497 nt
Filed under: uncultured bacterium
Lineage: Bacteria
Description: partial 16S ribosomal RNA
Rfam family: Bacterial small subunit ribosomal RNA
Source: RNAcentral
GAUGAACGCUGGCGGCGUGCCUAAUACAUGCAAGUCGAGCGAACAGACGAGGAGCUUGCUCCUCUGACGUUAGCGGCGGACGGGUGAGUAACACGUGGAUAACCUACCUAUAAGACUGGGAUAACUUCGGGAAACCGGAGCUAAUACCGGAUAAUAUAUUGAACCGCAUGGUUCAAUAGUGAAAGACGGUUUUGCUGUCACUUAUAGAUGGAUCCGCGCCGCAUUAGCUAGUUGGUAAGGUAACGGCUUACCAAGGCAACGAUGCGUAGCCGACCUGAGAGGGUGAUCGGCCACACUGGAACGGAGACACGGUCCAGACUCCUACGGGAGGCAGCAGUAGGGAAUCUUCCGCAAUGGGCGAAAGCUUGACGGAGCAACGCCGCGUGAGUGAUGAAGGUCUUCGGAUCGUAAAACUCUGUUAUUAGGGAAGAACAAAUGUGUAAGUAACUAUGCACGUCUCGACGGUACCUAAUCAGAAAGCCACGGCUAACUACGUG